AGUGAACGCUGGCGGCAGGCCUAACACAUGCAAGUCGAACGGCAGCACAAGAGAGCUUGCUCUCUGGGUGGCGAGUGUCGUGCGGGUGAGGCAUGCAUCGGAAUCUGCCCAUUUUUGUGGGUUAACCUCUGGAAACCGUGACUAAUACCGCAUACGACCUACGGGUGAAAGCUUGGGAUCUUCUUACCUUUCGCAUAUCGAUUAGCCGAUGCCGGAUUUGCUAGUUGGAGGGGUAAAGUCCCACCAAGGCUACGAUCCGUAGCUGGUCUGAGAGGAUGAUCAGCAACACUGGGAGUGAGACACGGCCAAGAGUACUACGGGAGGGAGCAGUGGGGAAUAUUGGACAAUGGGCGCAAGCAUGAUCCAGCAAUGCCGAGUGUGUGAAGAAGGCAUUAGGGUUGUAAAGCACGUUUGUUGGGAAAGAAAAGAAGCCGGUUAAUACCAGGUUGUAAUGACGGUAACCAAAGAAUAAGCACCGGCUAACUUCGUG
Molecule: ribosomal RNA, 490 nt
Filed under: uncultured bacterium
Lineage: Bacteria
Description: partial 16S ribosomal RNA
Rfam family: Bacterial small subunit ribosomal RNA
Source: RNAcentral